GAUGAACGCUGGCGGCGUGCUUAACACAUGCAAGUCGAACGGAAAGGCUCCUGCUUGCAUGGUUUGUCGAUUGGCGAACGCGGGAGUAACACGUGGGUGAACUGCCCUUAACUUCGGGAUAAGCCUUGGGAACUGGGUCUCUUACCGGGUAGAACCACAUUAUGGGCGUUGUUGUGGAAAGAUUUUCGGUCUGGGUUGAGCUGGCGGCCUAUCGGCUUGUUGGUUGGGUAAUGGCUUACCAAGCCGCUGACGGGUAGCCGGCAGGAGAGGUUAUACGGCGACAUGGGGACUGAGAUACGGCCCAGAAUCCUACGGGACGCAGUAGUGGGGAGUAUGGCACAAUGGGCGCAAGUCUGAUGCAGCGACGCCGCGUGGGGGAUGACGGCCUUCGGGUUGUAAACUCAUUUCGCUGGGGCCGAAGCGCAAGUGACGGUACCUGGAGAAGAAGCACCGGCUAACUACGUG
Molecule: ribosomal RNA, 465 nt
Filed under: uncultured bacterium
Lineage: Bacteria
Description: partial 16S ribosomal RNA
Rfam family: Bacterial small subunit ribosomal RNA
Source: RNAcentral